This is a non-coding RNA of Momordica charantia (bitter melon), 1020 nucleotides long. The record is from RefSeq and is a predicted model, not a curated record. Lineage: Eukaryota; Viridiplantae; Streptophyta; Magnoliopsida; Cucurbitales; Cucurbitaceae.
UGUUUUUUUUAAAACAAAACAAAGCCCUAAAGAAAAGUCAUCUUCUUCCCCUUCAUCUAACCCUAGCUGCCACCCUAUGGUUUCAUUUCCAUCGGCCAGCACCUCCCUCCGGCGGUCAUUGACAAGCAGCGGUGGAAUUCUAUCCCAACAACCGGCGACGACACCAUGAACCCGUCGUAGACGUCGCUUGAUACAGUAGUUCAGUCAUGUCUCCUAGUAGCAGCGGCGCGUCAUUUCGAUCGGUGGCAACUCGUACCAGAUCUUUGGUCGCGCGACAUUGAGGUUCCUCCAGCGGCUUUUUCAAGCAACCCCAACCACGAACAAUCAGAUCCAGUGACCCGUGCCCGAACUCGUGUCGAUCAGUGGUUCGGCAGCAACUUUUGGUGGCCACAAAAAGCGUUCUACUUGAUGGCUCACAUCCUUCAGCGUUGUUUUUACAGCCACCCGCACCCCGACAUAAACAGUAGCAGACACGCGAAGGUUUCUUUGUUCCGGCGAGACUCGGGUUGACCCAUCCUUGUUUGGAGCUGGUUUCGAGUUACCAACACGCAAACGGGACUAGAUUUGAGUUACAUGCCACUAUUCAGAUACAAAUAGACAUUACCCAUUGCUUUUCGGCAUCGGACCAGCAAGCGCAAAGCCGACUUAGAUUUGGAAGUCCGAACCUCCUUGGCGUCGACCCACUCCUAACCCAAGAGGUUUUAGUGUGAGUUAGUAGGUAACGAAUUCAGUAAACUUUGUUUCGAUUAAAAUUAAGCAUUUUUAGAUGAACUCGAACCUGAGUUUGGUUGUUUUGGAUUUAGGAACCGUUCGACGAGCUUAGUAGCGCGUUAGGACCUUCGUUGCAGAGUUCGUUGUGCUCGAGCGGAGCAGAUUACACCAUCAGGUUUUGUCCUUCAUGUGUGGUUGUUUGGCGAUUGGUCGAGCUUGAUGAAUAGGAAAGGAGAUAUGCCAUUCGUUUAUACCUUAAUCAAAUAUUUCAAAAUGAACAUAAUAAAAAAAAAUCAAUGUUCUAAAGUU